This 1094-nucleotide long non-coding RNA is filed under the name Equus caballus (horse). Its description in RNAcentral is "lncRNA (ENSECAG00000047039.1)". The record is from RNAcentral. Lineage: Eukaryota; Metazoa; Chordata; Mammalia; Perissodactyla; Equidae.
CUUCUUCUGACAGUCACUGUACCCCACCAUCUGGCCUAGGACAAGAAUCAGGUAUUUGUGGUCUGUGAGGACAAAGAACCUAGUUUUACAUGGAAGAAACUGCUUAGAAGUGGAAAAAAAAAUGAAGAAAGCUGAGGAAACUAACAUUCCCAAGCCCUGCUGGUACAUACGUAUCCUACCCCCUCCAGAUUUGCAUUUCAAAGCCUCCCUGUGUUUUGAUUUUUUUUUUUUUUUUGGCUUUUCUUCUUGCCUUAUCCAUUGUAACUUGUCUUAAUACCUUACCUCAGGUGAGCUCAGAUUGGCAGAGUGAAUUUUAACCAAAACAUGAAUUAUCAUUUGAAAAACAUUGGUGUGUCUUUUAUAUCUAUGACCCCUCAUGAAAGUGAGUUGAGCUUUUACAAGAUAACACAAGUCAUAUACAAUCAGUAUGAGCCAAAGAAUCUUCUCAUUCACCAGGACUAAAAUUAGAGUCAGGAGUGACCACAAAAGUCUGCAGAUGGAGCAAUAAGAAGGAGUCCAGAGGAGGCCUGGAAAGAGGUAGGGAUGUUUUAAAAUAUUAUAAACAGUUAUCCUAUUGUUUACAGAAUAAAAUUAACCCAAUGACACAUUCUAAGUAUGGCUUCAGCUCUUCCACCAGCCAGAGCUAAAGACAUUGUAAAUAAGAUGUGUGCUCAGCUGCAGUGGAUCAGGACCUGUCGUAGUCGUUUGGGGGAAGAUUACAAGAGGUAGUAAUUUAACUCUACUCGUAUGAAAUUCUUAGUUGCUAAAGUUCUCCUAACUGUAUGAAAUUAAAUUAAUUUUCUUGGCCUCAGACUUCAUUCCCUGUGUAUAAACAGAGCAUCCUGCCAACAGUUCAACCACCUGCUCUUUGUCACUGGAACUGAGAAGCUGCAGAUUCUGGUGGCUAGGAUUCAAGCUACUGGAACUGCCUCGUAGCACCAUUCCACAGAGGUGCAAUUAUCAGUGGGAGAACAGUCAGAGAAUACAAGUCCUUAAAGAAUCCAAGGGGAGUGACAAGGUGAGACUUGCCCUCUAAUCAGCGCCAUCUCUCCCCCUACCCUUUUAUUUCCUCCCUCCCUCUCUCCUCUUUUCUG